GGUGGUAAUGCCGGAUGCUCCGACUCCUCGCAUGGGGUGUCGGGAAAGAUUUCAUCGGUAUGGGAUGGGGUCGCGUCCUAUCAGGUAGUCGGCGGGGUAACGGCCCACCGAGCCUACGACGGGUAGCCGGCCUGAGAGGGCGACCGGCCACAUUGGGACUGAGAUACGGCCCAGACUCCUACGGGAGGCAGCAGUGGGGAAUAUUGCACAAUGGGCGCAAGCCUGAUGCAGCGACGCCGCGUGCGGGAUGACGGCCUUCGGGUUGUAAACCGCUUUUGAUCGGGAGCAAGCCUUCGGGUGAGUGUACCUUUCGAAUAAGCACCGGCUAACUACGUGCCAGCAGCCGCGGUAAUACGUAGGGUGCAAGCGUUAUCCGGAAUUAUUGGGCGUAAAGGGCUCGUAGGCGGUUCGUCGCGUCCGGUGUGAAAGUCCAUCGCUUAACGGUGGAUCUGCGCCGGGUACGGGCGGGCUGGAGUGCGGUAGGGGAGACUGGAAUUCCCGGUGUAACGGUGGAAUGUGUAGAUA
Molecule: ribosomal RNA, 525 nt
Filed under: Bifidobacterium pseudocatenulatum
Lineage: Bacteria; Bacillati; Actinomycetota; Actinomycetes; Bifidobacteriales; Bifidobacteriaceae
Description: bacterial SSU rRNA
Rfam family: Bacterial small subunit ribosomal RNA
Source: RNAcentral